CAUUGAAACACCGUUUUCCGUAAAAUCACCGAAGUUAAGCAAUGUCGAGCCUUGUCAGAACCUUGAUGGGACACCACUUGCGAAUGCUAGGUGCUGCAAG
Non-coding RNA from Acanthosepion pharaonis, 100 nucleotides. The record is from the annotation of a GenBank genome assembly. NCBI's taxonomy places the organism in Eukaryota, Metazoa, Mollusca, Cephalopoda, Sepiida, Sepiidae.